RNAcentral lists this microRNA (22 nucleotides) under Drosophila melanogaster (fruit fly). Its description in RNAcentral is "dme-miR-4956-5p". Lineage: Eukaryota; Metazoa; Arthropoda; Insecta; Diptera; Drosophilidae. The record is from miRBase by way of RNAcentral.
CGAUGGCCAGCAACAACUCGCU